GAUGAACGCUGGCGGCGUGCCUAAUACGUGCAAGUCGAGCGAACGGACGAGAAGCUUGCUUCUCUGAUGUUAGCGGCGGACGGGUGAGUAACACGUGGAUAACCUACCUAUAAGACUGGGAUAACUUCGGGAAACCGGAGCUAAUACCGGAUAAUAUUUUGAACCGCAUGGUUCAAAAGUGAAAGACGGUCUUGCUGUCACUUAUAGAUGGAUCCGCGCUGCAUUAGCUAGUUGGUAAGGUAACGGCUUACCAAGGCAACGAUGCAUAGCCGACCUGAGAGGGUGAUCGGCCACACUGGAACUGAGACACGGUCCAGACUCCUACGGGAGGCAGCAGUAGGGAAUCUUCCGCAAUGGGCGAAAGCCUGACGGAGCAACGCCGCGUGAGUGAUGAAGGUCUUCGGAUCGUANAACUCUGUUAUUAGGGAAGAACAUAUGUGUAAGUAACUGUGCACAUCUUGACGGUACCUAAUCAGAAAGCCACGGCUAACUACGUGCCAGCAGCCGCGGUAAUACGUAGGUGGCAAGCGUUAUCCCGGAUUAUUGGGCGUAAAGCGCGCGUAGCGGUUUUUUAGUCUGAUGUGAAAGCCCACGGCUCAACCGUGGAGGGUCAUUGGAAACUGGAAAACUUGAGUGCAGAAGAGGAAAGUGGAAUUCCAUGUGUAGCGGUGAAAUGCGCAGAGAUAUGGAGGAACACCAGUGGCGAAGGCGACUUUCUGGUCUGUAACUGACGCUGAUGUGCGAAAGCGUGGGGAUCAAACAGGAUUAGAUACCCUGGUAGUCCACGCCGUAAACGAUGAGUGCUAAGUGUUAGGGGGUUUCCGCCCCUUAGUGCUGCAGCUAACGCAUUAAGCACUCCGCCUGGGGAGUACGACCGCAAGGUUGAAACUCAAAGGAAUUGACGGGGACCCGCACAAGCGGUGGAGCAUGUGGUUUAAUUCGAAGCAACGCGAAGAACCUUACCAAAUCUUGACAUCCUUUGACAACUCUAGAGAUAGAGCCUUCCCCUUCGGGGGACAAAGUGACAGGUGGUGCAUGGUUGUCGUCAGCUCGUGUCGUGAGAUGUUGGGUUAAGUCCCGCAACGAGCGCAACCCUUAAGCUUAGUUGCCAUCAUUAAGUUGGGCACUCUAAGUUGACUGCCGGUGACAAACCGGAGGAAGGUGGGGAUGACGUCAAAUCAUCAUGCCCCUUAUGAUUUGGGCUACACACGUGCUACAAUGGACAAUACAAAGGGCAGCGAAACCGCGAGGUCAAGCAAAUCCCAUAAAGUUGUUCUCAGUUCGGAUUGUAGUCUGCAACUCGACUACAUGAAGCUGGAAUCGCUAGUAAUCGUAGAUCAGCAUGCUACGGUGAAUACGUUCCCGGGUCU
This 1370-nucleotide ribosomal RNA is filed under the name uncultured bacterium. Its description in RNAcentral is "bacterial SSU rRNA". It matches the Rfam family "Bacterial small subunit ribosomal RNA", at positions 28 to 1381 of the family's 1533-position model. The record is from RNAcentral.